This 76-nucleotide transfer RNA is filed under the name Acetobacterium wieringae. Its description in RNAcentral is "tRNA-Ala(ggc)". It matches the Rfam family "tRNA". Rfam says of the family: Transfer RNA (tRNA) molecules are approximately 80 nucleotides in length. Their secondary structure includes four short double-helical elements and three loops (D, anti-codon, and T loops). Further hydrogen bonds mediate the characteristic L-shaped molecular structure. tRNAs have two regions of fundamental functional importance: the anti-codon, which is responsible for specific mRNA codon recognition, and the 3' end, to which the tRNAs corresponding amino acid is attached (by aminoacyl-tRNA synthetases). tRNAs cope with the degeneracy of the genetic code in two manners: having more than one tRNA (with a specific anti-codon) for a particular amino acid; and 'wobble' base-pairing, i.e. permitting non-standard base-pairing at the 3rd anti-codon position. Lineage: Bacteria; Bacillati; Bacillota; Clostridia; Eubacteriales; Eubacteriaceae. The record is from RNAcentral. RNAcentral also lists the same sequence under 4 other names.
GGGGGUGUGGCGCAGCUGGGAGCGCGUCUGACUGGCAGUCAGAAGGCCAGGGGUUCGAGUCCCCUCAUCUCCACCA